UCGCAGCCAAGGCCGAAAUGGUAUCUCCAAGCUAACGGCAAAGAACGUUAAUUAGGCGAUAGAAACAUUCGACCAUUAUGCAAAUCGUGACCUUAUUACUACCGCAACUCCUAACAGCGUAGCGUGAUGCUAAACUGACAGUUGACGAGGAUUUCGCUGCGAAAAGGAUAUUUAGCCACGUCCGGUCCGUUUUAAAUGUAUAUAAACCGAACUGAUGCACUGUAAGACAGUAGUUCAGUAUUUUCUGUAGACAAACAUGAAGUGUGCGGUAGCAAUCGUUUUGGGAUUCGUCGGCAUGGUGUUGACCAACCCUGUCCCGCCUCUGGGACUGGGGCUCGCAUACCCAGCGUCCAUAAGCUCAACCUAUGUCAACCACGGCCUGACGUACCCCCGCGUUGUUGUCUCCGCUCCAGUCUACACCGCCCCCUUGAUCAAGACCCCGGUGAUCACCGCUCCCAUCAUCACCGCUCCAAUCAUCAAAACUCCGAUUGUAACCGCCCCUCUGCACUGGGGUUCUUGGGGCUACGGCUGGGGAAAACAUUGAAUUGAAUAACAAUUUAUCUCGAUCGUAAUGUUCUACAUAUAAAACCUUUUGUGGUCGUAAAUGUUUUUCAAUAAAUCUUCAUACGUUUA
Bombyx mori (domestic silkworm) is the source of this 633-nucleotide long non-coding RNA. RefSeq lists it as uncharacterized. Lineage: Eukaryota; Metazoa; Arthropoda; Insecta; Lepidoptera; Bombycidae. The record is from RefSeq and is a predicted model, not a curated record. The transcript is spliced from 3 exons.